AAACAUAUUAGAAAAAAAAAAAAAGACGUCGCUAUAGAUGCUCAUUUAGGCUAAAUGCAAAGGUGAAAACGUUUCAAUGUUCGAUUUCUAAUUGCCAAGCAACCUCGAGAACAGAGAAAUAAUAAAAUCUUGUGUUUUCAAGUGAAAUGGAGUCCAAAACUUUGGCUGAUUUAAGUUCGGGCCCUGAACUUGAGGGUCCAUUUUUCUUAAGAACAAGGCAUCUUAGAAACCUAAAAUCAUAAAUGCAAUGUUAUAUAUUUCUCUCCUCCCUCUGUUUUUUUGCAUCAAAACAAAUAGGGAAUAAAUCCAUUCCAACAAAUUAAAUGGUAAUUAUUCUCUUUUUUUCUUUUUUCUUUUUACAUUAUUUUUCUUACCUAAAGUAUAUAUCAGUUUUUUUUUAACAAAAAAACCUCAACCAAGCCAAAUAGUUUAAUUUUGCUUGGUUGAAUGGCUACCCUGCUGAGUUUUAAAAGAAGUGAGACAAUUUCAACUAAUCCUUACAGCUAUAUUUCACAGUUUCAGAAACAUAUUCCUAGUAGGGCAUAAACAGAAGUAAAUAAGAGUCAGGAAGCCAAUGUACUACAUCCCAAAUAAGCCCCACAAAAUUCAAAUAACAAAACCAUGCAUUUUAAAAAGUGUGGAUUGUUAUGCGAUCCAUGAUAUGCUCCAAAUAUUUUUGGAGGGUUUUGAAUAAUAAUCUAAGCAUAUAAAAGUGCUUCUGGAUUUCAACUUUUCAAUUGUCUUCUCCCAUUGUAAGCCUCAAAAUUUUAAGUGAAUCUCAGCAAUAAUACACAUAAAAACAGCUCAUGUUGUCCAAAAUUUUUAACAUUAAGAAUCCAAAUUUCGAGCUUCACUUGUUCACAUUUCCAGACAAUUUCUUUUAAAAAAGAAAAGCCGCCACAGACAAAACAUCAAUUAUAUAAGCACAAAUCACAUAUAAUCUAAUAUAUUUACAAACACAAAUGCAUUCAAAUUGCCAAAUGAAGAACACUUCAACUAUCUAAAUCGCGCAUUAAGUUCAAAUGAGUAAAACAACUAAAAUAGAUACUCGCAUCAAGUAAUGAAUGAUCACGAAAAUGAGAAAAAAAGGGCUCCAAUUUUCCUUCAAAAUCCUACAUUUCCUAGGAAACCAAGCGGGGAGAGAAAUAGAAAUAGCUCCUAAAAAACACUCUUUUCUCUUUGCAGUUAACCUAAGCUGGACUAGGAAUUGAUAGAAAAAGGGAAAUCAAUGAUAAGAAAUGCUGGAGACAACAGAGAUAAAAGAGAGAGAAG
RNAcentral lists this unclassified non-coding RNA (1272 nucleotides) under Hevea brasiliensis (rubber tree). The record is from RNAcentral. Lineage: Eukaryota; Viridiplantae; Streptophyta; Magnoliopsida; Malpighiales; Euphorbiaceae.